AGAAAUUUAGGUUAAAACAGACCGAGGGCCUUCAAAGCCCUAAGUAGGUAUAAUUUACUUAAUUUCUG
This 68-nucleotide transfer RNA is filed under the name Sorex araneus (European shrew). RNAcentral describes it as "tRNA-Trp". The record is from RNAcentral. Lineage: Eukaryota; Metazoa; Chordata; Mammalia; Eulipotyphla; Soricidae.